RNAcentral lists this long non-coding RNA (236 nucleotides) under Elaeis guineensis (African oil palm). RNAcentral's name for it is "long non-coding RNA (EGUI_LNC036268)". The record is from RNAcentral. Lineage: Eukaryota; Viridiplantae; Streptophyta; Magnoliopsida; Arecales; Arecaceae.
GAAGCCUUUAUACUAGGUGCUUCCAAUCAGUGCUGGAUGUGAAUGACCUAGAGUUGAUUCGAGCUUAGUUUUGGAUCCUGCCCGAGUAUCAACUAGAAGCCCCAGGACCAAAUGGUCGGAUCUAUGACCCUCUCUCAAAUCAACUCGAGCUCUACGAGGAGUCCUUUUGGGCUGGGCUUAGGCUUCUUCUUCACCCAUUUUUCAUAUCCCUUUUUUAUUUUCUUGACAUGUCAUUG